RNAcentral lists this ribosomal RNA (301 nucleotides) under uncultured bacterium. RNAcentral describes it as "partial 16S ribosomal RNA". It matches the Rfam family "Bacterial small subunit ribosomal RNA", at positions 509 to 809 of the family's 1533-position model. The record is from RNAcentral.
CAGCCGCCACGGGAAUACGAGGGGGGCAAGCGUUGUUCGGAAUUAUUGGGCGUAAAGGGUGCGUAGGCGGUUUGGCAAGUCUUAUGUGAAAUCUCUGAGCUCAACCCAGAGUCUGCAUGAGAAACUGCCGGGCUUGAGUAUGGGAGAGGUGAGUGGAAUUUCCGGUGUAGCGGUGAAAUGCGUAGAUAUCGGAAGGAACACCUGUGGCGAAAGCGGCUCACUGGACCAUAACUGACGCUGAUGCACGAAAGCUAGGGGAGCAAACAGGAUUAGAUACCCCCGUAGUCCCUGUCUCUUAUAA